This 497-nucleotide ribosomal RNA is filed under the name uncultured bacterium. RNAcentral's name for it is "partial 16S ribosomal RNA". It matches the Rfam family "Bacterial small subunit ribosomal RNA", at positions 28 to 507 of the family's 1533-position model. The record is from RNAcentral.
GAUGAACGCUGGCGGCGUGCCUAAUACAUGCAAGUCGAGCGAACGGACGAGAAGCUUGCUUCUCUGAUGUUAGCGGCGGACGGGUGAGUAACACGUGGAUAACCUACCUAUAAGACUGGGAUAACUUCGGGAAACCGGAGCUAAUACCGGAUAAUAUUUUGAACCGCAUGGUUCAAAAGUGAAAGACGGUCUUGAUGUCACUUAUAGAUGGAUCCGCGCUGCAGUAGCUAGUUGGUAAGGUAACGGCUUACCAAGGCAACGAUGCAUAGCCGACCUGAGAGGAUGACCACCCACACUGUAUCUCAGACCCGGUCCAGACUCCUGCGGAAGGCCGCAGUGUGCAAUCUUGCACAAUGGGCGCAAGCCUGACGACGCACCACCGCGUGAGCGACGAAGGUCUUCGGGUCGUAAAACUCUGUUAUUGAGGACGAACAUCUGUCUAAGUAACUGUACACAUCUUGACGGUACCUAAUCAGAAAGCCACGGCUAACUACGUG